RNAcentral lists this ribosomal RNA (251 nucleotides) under uncultured prokaryote. RNAcentral describes it as "partial 16S rRNA". It matches the Rfam family "Bacterial small subunit ribosomal RNA", at positions 525 to 775 of the family's 1533-position model. The record is from RNAcentral.
ACGGAGGGUGCGAGCGUUAUUCGGAAUUACUGGGCGUAAAGCGCGUGCAGGCGGCCUGUCAAGUCUGAUGUGAAAGCCCUGGGCUUAACCCGGGAAGUGCAUUGGAUACUGAUAGGCUUGAGUACUGGAGAGGAUGGGGGAAUUCCCGGUGUAGAGGUGAAAUUCGUAGAGAUCGGGAGGAAUACCAGUGGCGAAGGCGCCCAUCUGGACGGCUACUGACGCUGAGACGCGAAAGCGUGGGGAGCAAACAG